GAUGGAUCCGUUCAUUCAUCCGCCUCCCCAACCAGCCAGCACGACCUGCGUGUCAGCUCUGUGCCCCUCUGCUGGGACACAACCAUGUGUCAGAUAGAGUAGAUUCUCAGGAAACUCCUCCUGGAAGCAGACAGCUGACAAAUAGUAACAAAAGCACAAGCAGUUACACAGGAAAGGGGAGAAGAGGAAGCCGUGGCUCUCCCUGGGUGCAACUGGGAAGACUUCCUGGAGGAGGUUAUAGCAGGGCUGGCCCUAAAGAUUCAGCAGGGCUUCCCCAGCUGGAGAAGAUGGGGGUAGACAGCAGAAACAACAGGGAUGAGCAAAGACACAGUAAUGUGUGUCUGGAAUAUGGUGGCAAGAGCAAUGCGGCUGGCGUGUACUGCUUGAGCAGCACAAUCAGGAAAGAGUGGAGAGGCAGCAGGGACCAAACCUUGAGGUCCAGCUUUGGAUGCUUUCCUGAGGGCAAGGAGGAGCCCUUGAAGCAUUGAUUGAUGGAUUAUUCCAUUGACUGGUUAUUUUAAGCAGGGAGUGACAAGACAAAGAUUUGUAUUUUAGAAAGGCACUAUGGGGGCUUUGAGUGGAAGAGAGAAGCUGGAAGCCAGGAACUCAGGCAGGAGACUGGAGCAAUGAUCCAGAGAAGUAGGAGGCUUUGAUCCAGGUCAGGAGCAGCAUUCUGGAAAUGGGACCUCUACGCUGAGCCUUGAAAGCUGAGAAGGAGCGCACCCAGUGGAGAAGGUGGGAAGGGUGUCUAGACCAAAGACACAGCAGAGAUAAAGUCUCAACACACAGAAAGCUCCUGGGCAGCCUGGGGAAAUUUCCACUGGUGCUGUAGGGCUGCAGCCUGGUCUGAGAGAGAGGGCGUGGUGAGGGUGAGGCUCAAGAAGCCGGUCAGGACAGACCCCCAGGGCCUCUAUUCCCUGAACCUGGACGCAGGUGGAGAGGAAAAGGUGCCUCACCACUUGUACAGAUGUAGAUGUGCUGGGCAGAGAGCCCUAGUCAGGGCUGCCCCUUUCUCAAAGCAAACCUCCCCAUGUUUACAACACUUCUCAGGUCCCCUGGAGAGGAAGGCAAAAAGAGAUUAUUCUUCCUAUGGAUUAGAUAAAGAAACUAAGGCCCAGAAAGUGCAGGAACCUGACCAAGGUCAUUCAAGAGCUUAGGUAUCCAUCCCCCUUUCAAUUUCCCAUGUUGUUUGCAGUAAGCCAGCUUGACCCCGAAUCACUACACAAUGGAUAGGUAGAUAGAGUAGCAGCUAACUAAUCUGGUUGGAAUGGAAAAAAGGAGGAGGGUUGGACGCAUCAGAGAAAGAGACCACUUUUUCAUGUCCUAUUUCUUCAACCUUCAUGCUGGGACAUCCCAGAUGAUAAAACAGGUGCCCUCUGCUUUGGAAACCAAGAGACAGGAGGGCAAAUCCCAGCUCUGCCACUUAUUAGGUGUCACUCCACUUCACUGAGCUUUGUUUUUUCCAUCCAGAAGGGAGAGAAAAAAACUCCAAUCCAUCAGAAUUGUGAGAAUUGAAUGUGACAGUGUAGCACUGCAGUAGUCAUCUGUUGCUGAGUAACAAAUUACGCCCCCCCCCCAAAAAAAAUUAGCAGCUUAAAACAACCGGUAUUUAUUAAUCUCACAUAAUUCCAAGGGUCAAAAACCCACAAAUGGAUUGAUUGGGUGGGGCUGGCUCAGAAUCACUACUAAUGCUGCCGUCAAGUGUCAGUGGGGGUUGUAUUCAUCUGAAGGCUCGACUAGGGUUGCAGGAUCCUCCUCCCAGCCCACUCUGUUCCUUGCUGGCAGUUGGCCAGACUGCUACUCCUUCUUACAUAGGCCUCUAAAUAAGGUCACUCCUCACACAGAAACUAACUUCCCCUAGAAUGAAUGACUUGGGAAAGAAGCUGGGCAUGGUGGCACUCGCUUGUAAUCCCAGGAGCUUGGGAGGCUGAGGCAGGAGAAUCGUGAGUUCAAA
RNAcentral lists this long non-coding RNA (1954 nucleotides) under Marmota monax (woodchuck). The record is from RNAcentral. Lineage: Eukaryota; Metazoa; Chordata; Mammalia; Rodentia; Sciuridae.